UAGUGAGAUGAUGCUCAACCAUCUUUCGGGACUGACCUGUCAUGGAGAUGCUUUCUGUUCACCUGAUCACUA
Megalops cyprinoides (Indo-Pacific tarpon) is the source of this 72-nucleotide small nucleolar RNA. RefSeq annotates it as small nucleolar RNA SNORD2. NCBI's taxonomy places the organism in Eukaryota, Metazoa, Chordata, Actinopteri, Elopiformes, Megalopidae. The transcript has a single exon. The record is from RefSeq and is a predicted model, not a curated record.